AUUGAACGCUGGCGGCAUGCUUUACACAUGCAAGUCGAACGGCAGCGCGGGCUUCGGCCUGGCGGCGAGUGGCGAACGGGUGAGUAAUGCAUCGGAACGUGCCCAGUAGUGGGGGAUAGCCCGGCGAAAGCCGGAUUAAUACCGCAUACGACCUGAGGGUGAAAGCGGGGGACCGAAAGGCCUCGCGCUAUUGGAGCGGCCGAUGUCGGAUUAGCUAGUUGGUGGGGUAAAGGCUUACCAAGGCGACGAUCCGUAGCUGGUCUGAGAGGACGACCAGCCACACUGGGACUGAAGCACGGCCCAGACUCCUACGAGAGGCAGCAAUGGGGAAUUUUUGACAAUGGGGGCAACCCUGAUCCAGCCAUGCCGCGUGCGGGAAGAAGGCCUUCGGGUUGUAAACCGCUUUUGUUCGGGAAGAAAUCCUCUGGGCUAAUACCCCGGGGGGAUGACGGUACCGGAAGAAUAAGCACCGGCUAACUACGUG
This 484-nucleotide ribosomal RNA is filed under the name uncultured bacterium. RNAcentral's name for it is "partial 16S ribosomal RNA". It matches the Rfam family "Bacterial small subunit ribosomal RNA", at positions 29 to 507 of the family's 1533-position model. The record is from RNAcentral.